Molecule: long non-coding RNA, 232 nt
Filed under: Elaeis guineensis (African oil palm)
Lineage: Eukaryota; Viridiplantae; Streptophyta; Magnoliopsida; Arecales; Arecaceae
Description: long non-coding RNA (EGUI_LNC006854)
Source: RNAcentral
GGUGGAUACUUGUAGAGGCCAGACACGUGUACGGCUCAAGGAUGUUCGGAUCUAAAAUCAUCUGUAGUGGUGUAUUUCAACCCUCACAAAGGUAUUGAGAUUUGAUCUCAUCUUUAUUUUAUUUUUAGAUUAUAUGCAUAUUUUUAUUUUGAGGCUCGGGUAGGAUUAGAUAUGAUCAAAUGCAUAUGGGGUUAAAGGGUUUAAUCCAGUUUCUUUCUGCUGCUAUUCAAAA